GACAGAGGUCCCGAGCGUUAGGCGGAAUCACUGGGCUUAAAGCGUGUGUAGGCGGAUUUGUAAGUACCUUGUGAAAUCCCACGGCUUAACCGUGGAACUGCUUGGUAUACUGCUUAUCUUGGGCCACUUAGGGGUUACCGGAACAAACGGUGGAGCGGUGAAAUGCGUAGAUAUCGUUUGGAACGCCAAUGGUGAAAACAGGUAACUGGGAGUGUGCCGACGCUGAGACACGAAAGCCAGGGGAGCGAACGGG
Molecule: ribosomal RNA, 253 nt
Filed under: uncultured bacterium
Lineage: Bacteria
Also listed under: 1 other name
Description: partial 16S ribosomal RNA
Rfam family: Bacterial small subunit ribosomal RNA
Source: RNAcentral